Molecule: transfer RNA, 70 nt
Filed under: Ictidomys tridecemlineatus (thirteen-lined ground squirrel)
Lineage: Eukaryota; Metazoa; Chordata; Mammalia; Rodentia; Sciuridae
Description: Spermophilus tridecemlineatus (thirteen-lined ground squirrel) tRNA
Rfam family: tRNA
About the family: Transfer RNA (tRNA) molecules are approximately 80 nucleotides in length. Their secondary structure includes four short double-helical elements and three loops (D, anti-codon, and T loops).
Source: Rfam by way of RNAcentral
GGGGAUAUAGCUCAGUUGGUAGAGUGCUUGUCUUGCAUAUACAAGGCCCUGGGUUUGACUCCCAGCACCA